GAGUUUGAUCCUGGCUCAGAUUGAACGCUGGCGGAAUGCUUUACACAUGCAAGUCGAACGGCAGCACGGGGCAACCUGGUGGCGAGUGGCGAACGGGUGAGUAAUACAUCGGAACGUGCCCAAUCGUGGGGGAUAACGUAGCGAAAGUUACGCUAAUACCGCAUACGAUCUACGGAUGAAAGCGGGGGAUCGCAAGACCUCGCGCGAAUGGAGCGGCCGAUGUCAGAUUAGGUAGUUGGUGGGGUAAAGGCUCACCAAGCCAACGAUCUGUAGCUGGUCUGAGAGGACGACCAGCCACACUGGAACUGAGACACGGUCCAGACUCCUACGGGAGGCAGCAGUGGGGAAUUUUGGACAAUGGGCGCAAGCCUGAUCCAGCCAUUCCGCGUGCAGGAUGAAGGCCUUCGGGUUGUAAACUGCUUUUGUACGGAACGAAAAGGUCCUGGUUAAUACCUGGGGCUCAUGACGGUACCGUAAGAAUAAGCACCGGCUAACUACGUG
Molecule: ribosomal RNA, 501 nt
Filed under: uncultured bacterium
Lineage: Bacteria
Description: bacterial SSU rRNA
Rfam family: Bacterial small subunit ribosomal RNA
Source: RNAcentral